Molecule: small RNA, 282 nt
Organism: Alcanivorax borkumensis SK2
Lineage: Bacteria; Pseudomonadati; Pseudomonadota; Gammaproteobacteria; Oceanospirillales; Alcanivoracaceae
Rfam family: 5' ureB small RNA
Source: Rfam
UCGUCGAUCUGCUGCGGGCAGAUAAAAUGGAUAUGCGAAUCAAUCCCCCCCGCCGUAAUGAUGCUGCCUUCACCAGCAAUCACAUCGGUGCCGGGGCCAACAAUGAUAUCCACAUUCGGUUGCACAUCUGGGUUACCCGCCUUGCCAAUGGCCGCAAUUCGCCCGUUCUUAAUACCGAUAUCCGCUUUAACGAUCCCCCAGUAGUCGAGGAUCAAGGCAUUGGUAAUGACCAGGUCCAUAACCUUCGCCGAAGGCAGCUGGGAUUGGCCCAUGCCAUCACGA